RNAcentral lists this long non-coding RNA (790 nucleotides) under Malassezia sympodialis ATCC 42132. The record is from RNAcentral. Lineage: Eukaryota; Fungi; Basidiomycota; Malasseziomycetes; Malasseziales; Malasseziaceae.
CGGGCCCGUGUGCCCAAAAAAAAAACAGUGGAGGCUGCAUAAUGCCGCAGCACACCCUACAGUGCGUCACGAAGCGCUUUGGUGAGCGCUCCUUCCGAGAAACUAUACAGUAAGCUCUGCACCGCCUCAUAGCCUCCCGGCAGCUGUUGUGAUAAGGCCAUGCUCAUGCUGAGCACAGCGACCAUUCUCUGAAUGGUGUCAUGGCUUGCGCACGCUGCGUCCCAGCGAGAUAGCACAAAUCUUACGAGGGCAAGGGGCACGGGCGCCGCCCCUGCCGGAGGCGGUGCAAGAACCAGGGCCGUGCCAAGGAGUUGGACCGUCCACGUGUCGUCAGGCAUUGUAUGUUGUAGUAGCGAGAGCCAGGUAUGUGCCGUCGUGGUAUCGUGCGCCGCAGCAGAGCUAGUCGUCGCCACCCAUUGGCAGAGAGAGGCACGGCUCUCCUCCCUGCUCAGGGCGUGAGCCAGCCAGGUGGCGGGCGCAGCACGGGAGUGUACAUACUUCGCCUCAAGGAGUUGGCAGCAGGUACGCAGGGUGUUUCCGGCGGUACCGGGUAUCGUUGCCAGCUGCUCAUACCGAAGCAGCGGAAGCACAACGGGCAUUGCAAGCGUGCACACCAGGGGACAGCAGGCGUCAGAGAGGAGCAGGAUUUGUAGGACAUCGAGGCAGGUGCAUACAUGAGCGUGAAGAUGUGAAGCAUAGUAGGCACGGACGUGGGUUUGGUGGGUGUAGCUAGCAAGCCAUCGCAGCGUUGUAUGUAGGGUAUGGCGCAGUGGCGCCUGGAGAAAGUAGG